This 77-nucleotide transfer RNA is filed under the name Chloroflexi bacterium ADurb.Bin325. Its description in RNAcentral is "tRNA-His". The record is from RNAcentral. Lineage: Bacteria; Bacillati; Chloroflexota.
UCACGCCGUCGCCGAUGAGGAACGCGAUCGUGCGGCUGUGAUCCGCGAUCACGCGGUAGGACACCGCGCGGCGCGGG